RNAcentral lists this ribosomal RNA (253 nucleotides) under uncultured bacterium. RNAcentral describes it as "partial 16S ribosomal RNA". It matches the Rfam family "Bacterial small subunit ribosomal RNA", at positions 524 to 776 of the family's 1533-position model. The record is from RNAcentral.
UACGUAGGGGGCUAGCGUUGUCCGGAAUCAUUGGGCGUAAAGCGCACGUAGGCGGGUUGUUAAGUCAGGGGUGAAAUCCUGGAGCUCAACUCCAGAACUGCCUUUGAUACUGGCAACCUAGAGACUGGAAGAGGUUAGUGGAAUUCCCAGUGUAGAGGUGAAAUUCGUAGAUAUUGGGAAGAACACCAGUGGCGAAGGCGGCUAACUGGUCCAGCACUGACGCUGAGGUGCGAAAGCGUGGGGAGCAAACAGG